AGAACGAACGCUGGCGGCAUGCCUAACACAUGCAAGUCGAACGCGUGUAGCGAUACACGAGUGGCGGACGGGUGAGUAACGCGUGGGAACCUGCCCUGGAGUGUGGGAUAACCGAGGGAAACUUCGGCUAAUACCGCAUACGACCUGAGGGUGAAAGAUUUAUCGCUCUAGGAGGGGCCCGCGUCGGAUUAGCUAGUUGGUGGGGUAAAGGCCUACCAAGGCAGUGAUCCGUAGCUGGUCUGAGAGGAUGAUCAGUCACACUGGGACUGAGACACGGCCCAGACUCCUACGGGAGGCAGCAGUGGGGAAUAUUGGACAAUGGGGGCAACCCUGAUCCAGCAAUGCCGCGUGAGUGAUGAAGGCCUUAGGGUUGUAAAGCUCUUUCGCGCGCGACGAUGAUGACGGUAGCGCGAGAAGAACGCCCCGGCUAACUUCGCGCCAGCAGCCGC
RNAcentral lists this ribosomal RNA (449 nucleotides) under uncultured bacterium. Its description in RNAcentral is "SSU rRNA". It matches the Rfam family "Bacterial small subunit ribosomal RNA", at positions 26 to 518 of the family's 1533-position model. The record is from RNAcentral.